AGUGAACGCUGGCGGUAGGCCUAACACAUGCAAGUCGAACGGCAGCACAGUAAGAGCUUGCUCUUACGGGUGGCGAGUGGCGGACGGGUGAGGAAUACAUCGGAAUCUACUUUUUCUUGGGGGAUAACGUAGGGAAACUUACGCUAAUACCGCAUACGUCCUACGGGUGAAAUCAGGGGAUCUUCGGACCUUGCGCGAUUGAAUGAGCCGAUGUCGGAUUAGCUAGUUGGCGGGGUAAAGGCCCACCAAGGCGACGAUCCGUAGCUGGUCUGAGAGGAUGAUCGGCCACACUGGAAAUGAGACACGGUCCAGACUCCUACGGGAGGCAGCAGGAGGGAAUAUUCGGCAAUGGGCGAAAGCCUGACGCAGCCAAGCCGCGUGAGGGAAGAAGGGCUUCGGAUUGUAAAACCCUUUUAGUAGGGAAGAAAAAACGGGAAAUUAAAUCCCCACGUUUUGACGGUACCCAAAAAGAAAGCCACGGCUAACUACGUG
This 492-nucleotide ribosomal RNA is filed under the name uncultured bacterium. Its description in RNAcentral is "partial 16S ribosomal RNA". It matches the Rfam family "Bacterial small subunit ribosomal RNA", at positions 29 to 507 of the family's 1533-position model. The record is from RNAcentral.